UACGUAGGGGGCGAGCGUUGUCCGGAUUUAUUGGGUUUAAAGGGUGCGUAGGCUGUUAUAUAAGUCAGCGGUGAAAUAUUCGGGCUUAACCGGGAUACUGCCGUUGAUACUGUGUAGCUGGAAUAUGGUUGCUGUGGGUGGAAUGUGUGGUGUAGCGGUGAAAUGCAUAGAUAUCACACAGAAUAUCGAUUGCGAAGGCAACUCACAAAGCCAUUAUUGACGCUGAUGCACGAAAGUGUGGGGAU
This 245-nucleotide ribosomal RNA is filed under the name uncultured Bacteroidota bacterium. Its description in RNAcentral is "uncultured Bacteroidetes bacterium partial 16S ribosomal RNA". It matches the Rfam family "Bacterial small subunit ribosomal RNA", at positions 524 to 768 of the family's 1533-position model. Lineage: Bacteria; Pseudomonadati; Bacteroidota. The record is from RNAcentral.